Molecule: unclassified non-coding RNA, 276 nt
Filed under: Phlegmacium coalescens
Lineage: Eukaryota; Fungi; Basidiomycota; Agaricomycetes; Agaricales; Cortinariaceae
Description: Cortinarius coalescens sequence contains 18S rRNA gene, ITS1
Rfam family: Eukaryotic small subunit ribosomal RNA (bases 1-51)
Source: RNAcentral
AGUAAAAGUCGUAACAAGGUUUCCGUAGGUGAACCUGCGGAAGGAUCAUUAUCGAAAUAAAUCUGAUGAGUUGCUGCUGGUUCUCUAAGGGAGCAUGUGCACACUUGUCAUCUUUAUAUCUCCACCUGUGCACCUUUUGUAGACCUGGAUCACUCUCCGAAUGCUAGCCAUUCAGGAUUGAGGAAUUGACUUCACAUUCUCUUCUUCUAUUUCCAGGCCUAUGUUUCUUCAUAUACCCCAAUGUAUGUCGUAGAAUGUAAUCAAAUGGCCUUUGUG